This is a regulatory RNA element of Pseudomonas putida KT2440, 62 nucleotides long. It matches the Rfam family "gabT RNA". NCBI's taxonomy places the organism in Bacteria, Pseudomonadati, Pseudomonadota, Gammaproteobacteria, Pseudomonadales, Pseudomonadaceae. The record is from Rfam.
GGUGGCCAGGGCGUUCACGACAGUCGAUCAACGAAUACUGUUCGCGAGCACUCCCAGCCGCC